UAGGGAAUAUUGCGCAAUGGAGGAAACUCUGACGCAGCGACGCCGCGUGGGUGACGAAGGCCUUCGGGUCGUAAAGCCCUGUCGGAUGGGAAGAAACACGGUAUGGCUAACAUCCAUACCGCUUGACGGUACCAUUAAAGGAAGCACCGGCUAACUACGUGCCAGCAGCCGCGGUAAUACGUAGGGUGCAAGCGUUGUUCGGAAUCAUUGGGCGUAAAGCGCGUGUAGGUGGUUUAUUAAGUCGGAUGUGAAAGCCCUCGGCUCAACCGGGGAAGUGCAUUCGAAACUGAUUAACUAGAAGAUAGUAGAGGAAGGUGGAAUUCCAAGUGUAGAGGUGAAAUUCGUAGAUAUUUGGAGGAAUACCGGCGGCGAAGGCGGCCUUCUGGACUAUUCUUGACACUGAGACGCGAAAGCGUGGGUAGCAAACAG
This 429-nucleotide ribosomal RNA is filed under the name uncultured bacterium. RNAcentral's name for it is "bacterial SSU rRNA". It matches the Rfam family "Bacterial small subunit ribosomal RNA", at positions 355 to 775 of the family's 1533-position model. The record is from RNAcentral.